RNAcentral lists this ribosomal RNA (253 nucleotides) under uncultured bacterium. Its description in RNAcentral is "partial 16S ribosomal RNA". It matches the Rfam family "Bacterial small subunit ribosomal RNA", at positions 524 to 776 of the family's 1533-position model. The record is from RNAcentral.
UACGGAGGAUCCAAGCGUUAUCCGGAUUUAUUGGGUUUAAAGGGUGCGUAGGCGGAUUGAUAAGUUAGAGGUGAAAUGUCCGAGCUCAACUCGGGAACUGCCUCUAAUACUGUUGAUCUAGAGAGUAGAUGCGGUAGGCGGAAUGUAUGGUGUAGCGGUGAAAUGCUUAGAGAUCAUACAGAACACCGAUUGCGAAGGCAGCGUACCGGCAUCCAACUGACGCUGAGGCACGAAAGCGUGGGGAUCAAACAGG